Molecule: non-coding RNA, 14947 nt
Organism: Ictidomys tridecemlineatus (thirteen-lined ground squirrel)
Lineage: Eukaryota; Metazoa; Chordata; Mammalia; Rodentia; Sciuridae
Source: RefSeq, a predicted model, not a curated record
ACUUGAGAUCUUCCUGCCUCAGCUUCCCGAGCCGCUGGGAUUACACGUGUGCACCACUGUGUCAUCCAGUAUGACUUACUGUCUUAAAUUCAAUUUUAUUAUCUAUAAAAACAAUCUCUUAACAAUAGUUGCACUAUAAAGUCAUUCUUAAAAAAGUCAUUCUUAGAUUAAAUUAUCUGCAAAGUGCAUAAUAGUGCCUGCUGUAUAGCAAUAUGAGCUAAUGCUUAAUGAGCACUGCAUGCCAGACACUGUUCUGAACAUGUAUUAUAUGUACUGAUUACCCGUAGUUAUUCUUCAUAACAAGUCCACAGAACAGGUAUUAUUAACAUGCCACUUACAGAUGGAAAAACAGGCACACACAGGUUAAGUAACUUGCCCAAGGUCACAGAACCUAAAGUGAUGGGGCCAGAAUUCAAAGCCAGAUAGCUUGGUAUCGGAGUUCCUGCUUCUAUCCAUUAUGUUACACUGACCAUAAACUUCCAGUAAAGAAAUCUUAGCAACUAUUAACUAUUUUAUUAUGAUCACUAUGAAGCAGAUUGAGAGGGUUAAGUGACUUUCAAAUUUCACAAGUAUAUGUGGCAGAGCCUCUGCAGUGUGAGCCUUAGUUGUGUGGUUCCCAAACUCAUGUUUGUUCUGUUUUAUUCCUUUAAAGUAAAAGGCCCAGAGGUGCUUAUCUAGUGAUAAUAUUUAUAUGGAAGCAUCUUGGCAGAUUAUUCAGAACCACUAGGACUUGGCAUAGAAAAGAUAACAUGGUGACAAGUCAUAUUUGCCACAACAGGAACAAGGACCUCAGUGAAGCAGGAGCAUCUGUAUCACUUAGUGACAGAAAGGGAAGAGGAGAACAUGAAUGUGCAUAGCAACUCUGUAAUAGCCCCACGCUGGAAAUGAUGCAGCUCUUAAAUGAGUAAACAGUUUGUGGUAUGUCCAUACCAUGGAUUGCUCUCAGCAAUUAAAGGAACACAUUAUUGGUACAUGUAAGAACUUGGAUGAAUCUCAGGGGAUUAUGUAGAGUGAAAGAAAAUCUAAUCACAAAAAGGUUACAUAUUGUAUAAUUCCCAUUUAUAUAACUAACAUGAAAAAAUGAUAUAAAUGGAGAAUAGAGUAAUAGUUUCCAGGGUUAGGGAUGGGGUGGGAAAGAAAGACAAUAGGUAUCGUUUUAAAAGGGCAACAGGAGGGAUCUGGAGAUGGAGUGUCUUUACUGUGAUUGACACAAACCUAUACAUGGUAGUGUAAAUUUAAAUGCAGACACACAAGUACCCCACAAAUGAGAACAAGGAAAACUAAGGAGUCUGAGUAAGAUCAGUGGAUCAUUAUCAAUGCCAGUAUCUGGGUUGUGAAACUAGUUUUUGUAAGAUGUGAUCUUUGGGGGAAAUUGAGUAAAGAAUACACAGAUAUCUGUUUCUGUGUGGGAAUCAACUAUCAUCUCAAUAAAUAUUUUAACUUUAAAAAAAGGAGGAGAGCUUUGGGCCAAGGGAACCAAAGAAUCAAGAAGUGUUACCCACUUUCUGGGAGAAUUUAACAAAAACCCAGUGGUUCAUGUCCUCAUUACAGGGACUCUUGUAGAGGUGACAGGUGGGCUCAAUCUGCCUCUCACUAGGCAAGUGCUUUGGUAGCAGAUUUGUAAGUGGGAUGAGAUAGUGCAGGAGGAUUUUGAAGUUUUGUAAUGGAUUCCUAUCAUUUUUUAUUGAAAUCCACCAAUUCAAUAGAAAAGAUGCUUGCAGAAUUGUCCCUAAUAUCAUUAAAGCCAUAUUCUGAUUCAAAUAGGCAAGGAAACUCUUCAUAUUAAAUAAGAGCUAAACAAAGGUUUUGACAGAAGCUACCCGGGACAGUUGGGUUCUAAUGUAGAUUGGUCUUGGCUUAGCCUCUACCUCACAGGAUUUAUACUGAGGCACUUUAUAUGAAAGCAUCUGGGUAGAUUAUUCUGAACCACUAGGACUUGGCAUAGAAAAGACAGCAUGGUCUUCACAAUAACUCUACAAAGCCAAAACUACUCUUCUAUCUCCACUUGUUCUGCAGAGGUUAAGGCAUUAGCCUAAGGUCACAUUAGCCUAAGGUGGUGGAGUGGAUUCAACCCUAGUUCUGCUUAUGUUUAUGACCACCACAUUAACUUCUUCUUAUUUCUCAGUCAUCAAAAAGAGGAGAUUGGGCCAAGAGCUUUGGAUUCUCCAUGGCUUGAAUGAAUACUCAGUCAGUUAAUUUUGACCUGAGUGAGGUACAGCAGGUAGUAAAGAAAUAAGAAUAGCUAAUCUUGCUCUACAGGAUAUAGUAACAUACUAUAGAAAUGAUCCCUGAAAGUAUAGUCUUCCUACAGGAUAUAGGAUAAGACUGGGCAAGUUGAGUGAGAGAAGCAGACAUUACAGAGAGGGUAAUGGAAUAAUUUUUCAUUCUUGGAAGGGAUGUGACCUACUUAGGACUUCCCAGUAUAUCUUAAUUGUGAAAAAUAAGCCCCUUCUCUCUAAUAGAGAUUAGGCUGUCUGAAGAGUCCUGUUGGAUGAAUGCAUAUUCUUAGCUUGUUUCUUUUGAUUACCUAAAAUACAGGCAGUGGGAAGAUAAAACACCUAUGUGCUGGCUCAUUCAAAUUCAUAGAGCUCACCUGAAAAAGAAAUGGGUGCUGUUCAGAAACCACAGAAAGGAAACCCAGGAUUCACUAAAGGUUGAAGGUGGAAGAGAGAUGCCAAGACCCAAAGUCAGAGAGGAGAGAAUGCAGAGUAGCAAAAACAAAACAAAGACUGUUGAAGUUUGUAUCUUCUGCAUCUCAUAGUUGUUUGGGUUCAAUGAGACUUUGGGAGGGAGGUUCUUGAUUCUUUUAUAUCUUCAGGGUUUGUAUGGACACUCAAAUGGGAUUGGGGUGAGGGACUAUAGCUACUUAGUGCAGGUAGACCCAUCAGCCGUCAGAGACCACUGAAAAUCUACAGUGGCUUGCAAGCCUCCCUUGCUCACUCAUCCUAGGGAGGCAGAACAGCAAAAUGUUGACAAGCAAGAGUGAAGUCUGGAGCCUGGCUCCACCUCUUUCUGUGAACUGUGAACUGACUGUGAACUGACUGUGAACUGUGUGUCCACUUUUUCUGCAUCUUUUUAAUCUGUAAAAUGGGUAGUACUUGCUUCAGGGGGUUGGGUGAGGUGAUGAACACAUGUUCUUGGCACAGUGCCUGGCCAUAGUGCUCACUCUGUUCAUUUAAGUUAUGAUUAUGACUACAAGAUGGCAGGGGAUAUUUUGCAGCUUAAAAAGCAUUCUGCUAUUCUGCUGGCCAGAUAUUCUCUGUCUUACAUGGUGGCUGAGUAAAGAAACUGGGCUUCUUGCCUUAGUCCUUUAGCUUUUCUUUCUGAUCCUCAGUUUCCUUAAACAAAUCAUGAAUAGAGCUAUCUCAUCAGCAGGUCCUUGCUGAUGCAGGCAAGGUCAUACAGUGUCUAGUAACAAUGAUGUCACCUUCCAUUUUUAUCAGAUUUUUAAGGAAUUUUACAUAACUAGUUCCACUCCCGUUUUAAGAUGGGGCAACUGAGGGCUGUGGAAGUCAGGAGGAGUGUCCACAGUCACUUGACCCUUAGGUGGCUAUGCUGAAACAUGUACCUUUGGAAUUUUUUGUUGCAGGGAAGGGGCACUCACCUUCAUCUCACACAACAGAUAAAGCCCUCCUCUUUGGACCAGGCAAACAUCUCUCAGUUGACAGGAGAUAUUUUCACGUCUCAGGGCUUUCCUAACUUCCUUACAAACCCAAGUAGGCUGUGCCUCCUCUGUCCAGGUGAGAGGCCAACUAUGGUGCAAAUAGUGAAGACUUGAUUGUAGUUAGAGGACACUGAGACACUACUCUGAAGGAGCUGCUUUCUUAUGUCAUUUUCUGAUUUCCUGUAGCACAGUGCUCAGACUACCAGCUCUGAGGUCAAAUUGAUAAGGAUUCAAAUUCCAACUAAGGUACUUCCUGCUGUGUUUUCUGGGUCAGCUCUCUGGACUCCACUUCCUCACUUAUAAAAUGGAAUAAGUGAGCACAUAACUUUACAGGGAUGUUGUGAAUUUACUAUUCAUGCAUCCAUAUAGCUGUCUACUCAAUUUGUCGGUGCCAGUGUGAAAUGAAAAUGUCGGGUACCUGUUCAAAAGCAGGAAAAAAGACUUUUCCUUUUUUUUCCCAUGGUUCCUUUCUUGGCUCAUCAUGCUAUUUUUUUUAUUUGCUAUUAAUGUCCUCCCUCAGGUACAAGGAUACUUGCCUGGUAAGUACCUGAGAUCCUACCUUAGGACUGGGCCAUGCAUGAAAGAAAGCUCCAAGUCCUCAGCUAGUCCUUGUUCCUUUGGACUUCACUUAAAUUCAAAGAUGUUAUUGAACAUUACAAGAUGGAACUACAGAGGUGAAUUCCUCAGAUAAUGCUUUUCUGAUUGCGGACUUGUGACAAUACUGCUCGCGUGCCCAUGAAGCUGGAUCUGAAUGUACCUUCAAAGCAUUUAGUAAUCUCUGGCCUGUAAUCACAGCAGGAAGUACCUUAGUUGGAUUCAGUAAAUGAUCAGUAGAGAAGACCAGUUUUACUUGCUUACUCAAGAGCCCUGUAGCUCAAGCUUUCACUUGAGAUUUGCAUCUCUAGUCUGGCUCAGGGAAGAGUCAGAGAAGGUUUUAUUAACAACUUUGUUCAAAUGGGGAAACUGAGGCCCAGAGAGGGAAUGGAGUUUGGCUGUAAGCCUUGUCAUUAGUAACAGAGCCAGAAUUCAAUGGCAAUCUCUAGACUACCGGUCAAUGCUGAACAUCUUGAGCUCAGAACCCUCUCUGGACCUUGUUACCUGGGGAUGAUGAGUGGCAACGGGAUUGCAACCUCAGCCUCAAUCCCUUAUAUAGCUUUGCAAACCUGGUUCAAUACAAGCCACCUCUGAAAGCCUUUCCUGCUAAGAAUGUCUUUUAGUUUUCUUUCAUAUACACAUUCAUCCAAAAUUCACUCAUAUGGAAUAGAGGGUUUUUUCCCAUAUGCAGAUUUUUUGAUUGUGUUGAGAAUCAGUAUGCAGACAUUUCAAUUUGUGUACAAUUCUUAACACAUGCCCCGAAAAUCUAAAAGCCUUGUAUUGGGAUUCUUUUUCAGUUAUUCCAGUGAAUUUCCAGUUUCAACUUUGGAGGCAAAUUUUCCUUAAGAGAAUAUCAAGUACCAAUAUCUUCAAAUGCUGCUGUUACAUAAGACUCACCAAUUCACAUUUUUAUAUCAUAUCCAUUUGAUACUGAAGUAUUUUAAAAAUAUUUCACAGUACAUUAGCAAAAUUAUUGAGAAACUGGACUAUUAUAACUAAAGAUGUCACAGAGAACACAAGGACAAUGAUCAAGGAGUGGUUUUCUUUAGGAAAUAAUUCUACUAAAAACAACAUGGAAAUAAAAACAAUUAAAAAUAUUCAAGUCAUAAAAUGAAAGACCAUGACUCUAAAUAGUUUAGUAUACUUUGUAUUGUAGAAUAUAAAAUUAACCUCCUACCAAUGCUAGGUGAAGCCAACACCCAAGACAGUCAAAGCCUCUCCUAAUUCAAUAUCCAUGAUUUUCUUGUUGUGGCAAAAAAGAAGCUACCAGUGGAUGAUCUCACCUCUGGAAAAAAAAAUUAUACUUAAAAGAUGAGAUGAAGUGAGAUUCCCUUUUUUAAAAAAAUGUUUCUGUAGUUACUAAAAAAAACUUUACAAAACAGUUUCCUCUGGAUUAUGCAAGAUGGGACCAUUGGUUAGACAUGAUAUGUGAUUUAAUCACCUUUGGCUUAUUUCUCUUUGGCUCCAUCAGAGGCUGAACUCUCCUGGACUUUAGUUUCUCUUUUUUUUUUUCUGUAGGCAAAUCUUUAUUUUCUUCAUUAGUCACUCACUUAGCUUGCUUAGUCUGUUUUCUCUGUUGUUUAUACUGUUUUGGGCAAAGAUUUCUUUUCUGCUACCUUUUUUGGCUUUGUUUCUCCUUUUGCAGGAGCAGGAUUAACUGACAACCUUGAUCUCCUCUUGGGCCCUUCCUUUACCACCCUUGGCCUGAGAUGACUUUCUCUUGGGCAUCUUGGUGGCUUGGAGGAUAUGUGUAGAUGCCUGCAGGCCAUAGUGCCUGGCACUGCCACUCCUAAUGAGUGUUAGUGGAACCGAAGUAUAGCUAUUUGUUUUAUUUCAUAUUUUAGUAUGGACUGGAAUAGAGCUUUCUGUUCUGUUUUAUUUUGUGGUAUUGUGGGUUGACCCUCAGGCCUUGAACAGGCUAGGCAAGUGCUCUCCAACUGAAUUACAUCUCCAGCCUUUUAAAAAAAUAAUUUGAGACAGGGUCCAGCUCAAUUGCCCAGGCCAACCUUCAACUCACCAUCCUCCUGCCUCAGCCUCCAAGAAGCUGGGAUUGCAGGUGUGUACCACAAUGCCUGGCAGAAUUUUAUUCCCUAUGCUUUUUGUAUUACUAAACAUUAUGAGAAUUCUAUGGACAUUCAUUUUCAUAAUUUUAUGACAUUCUAUUUUAGGAGAGCUACAUAACCUAUUCAACCAAUUCCUUGUUUCUUCACACUCAGGUUGUUUCCAUAGUUUUCAGUUACUGAAAGACAGUGGAACAAGUUGUUAAGAGCACAUGCGCUAGAGAAACACUGGGUAUAAAUCUAGGUUAACUGUGUGACUUUGAGUGAGUUAGUUUGUGUCUUAGAGCCUCAGCGUCUUUGCCUGUGAACUCAGUACAAUCUUAGUAUAUAGCUCGUGGGUUUCAUGAGGAUUAAAUAAACUUGAAAAAGAACCAAACAAGUAUGUGCCAUAUAUGAGUUAGCUUAUUCUGUUAACUUUGAUAAUGCUCUAGUUGAUAUAAUUUUAUAGACAUCUUUGAAUGUAUGAGUGAUUAUGUCCUAGAAUUUGCAAUCCUGAAUCUGAGGGGUGAGCAUUCUCAGGCCAGCAUAGACAAGGAGAUCCAAGGGACUAGAGGCCAGGACAAGUUUGGGAUAGAGCCCCAGGCUUUGGCAGGAAAUGAUUGUCAUGAACUGACUUAUGCUUAAAGACAUUUGGACAGCAACUUUUUCCACUUCAGGGCUGAAAACGGGAAUGGUAGAGAGCAUAACAAGCUUCAAGUGGACCCCAGAGAAUCUUAGAUGACCCAGAGGAAAGAGACAGAGACAUACUCCCACCAGCUCCAGAAUGCUAAGUUGGUGAGCACUGAAGAAAGAAAUCUCUGUCGAGAUGGAUUCUGUCCUGAAGUAGGAAAGGCCAUAUGAGGACAUGCUGAGAAGGUACUCAUCUGUGAGUUAGGAAGAGAAGCCUCAGCAGAAAUAAGCUGUGGUGGCACUUCACCUUGGACUUACAGCCUUCAGAACGGAGAAAAUAAUGUUCUGUUGUUUAGGCUACCCAGGCUAGGGUGGUUUGCUAUGGCAGCUUAGUAGACUAUGACAGCCUCUUAAUGAGGUUAGACUUUUUUCCAAAACAGAAGUCAAGGGAAGAGUUAUUUUGCUGAUGGUCCUGCUGCUCCUUCUCUUUGUUCAGAAAUAUCCAAAGGUCUAAUGGGGAGAGUGAGGUGAGGUCCUCUACUGGUGAUGUUCAGAGAGAGAACACACCUUUAUCCUACCUUCAGUACCAAGGACAAAACACCAUUAAAUACCUAGCUAAUCGACCCUUCCGUUUUAUUCUUGGUUCUGUUUGCAAACAUGAACGUCAUGGAUCAGCCUGCAAUACAGUGCUUAAAGGAACAAGUGUUCUACCACUGAGUUAUAUCCCCAGCCCCAUGGUUUCAAAUUUAAGUCAAAGGGUUUUAGACUGUAUGAUCUCAAAUAUGACUCCUUUCUAGGUAGCAUAAUUUCAUAUUUCUCCAAUGAAUAUCAGUUUCCAGAAUGUCAUCCACCAAACAUGGUUCUUACAAAAACAAGUACUGAUCCUACUUAUUCCUUUAAGCACACUGAGUGCUCAGUCCCUAGCUCUGGGGGAGUCUCUCCAAGAUCUGACAUGAUAGGGAGGGAGGAACAAUGGAUGAUAGAACCCCAGAGGUAAGAAGAAAGGAGAUAUAGGCUCUACCAUCUGUGUUUAUGAAAAUACUUUCCAUAGGGUAACAAUAUUAAUCAUCAUCAUAAUAAAAUAAUUCUAUGGAAUGAAAUUAAGGGAAUGUUGGGUUUAAUUGAGGUAAGUUGUCGUCUUCCUUUUUUUUUUUUUGGCAGGUCUUCAUAUAGUCUUUAAUAUGUGAAUGUUCACUAUAAAUCUCAAGGGGAGGAUCCACACAAGUGGCACUUCACAAAUUAAGACCUAGCUUUCCACCAAGCAUCUUGUAGGAUCAGUGUUUCGUGGAUGACAUUCUGGAAACUGAUAUUCUUUGGAGAAAUAUGAAAUUAUGUGACCUAGCAAGGAGUCAUAUUUGAGAUCAUGCAGUCUGAAACCUUUUGGUUUAAGUUUGGGGCAACUGGGCUGGGGAUAUAGCUCAGUGGUAGAACCCUUGCCUAGAUCUUCUGCAAGGAGCUGGGUUUGAUUCCCCAGCACUGCAAAAACAAUAAAAAUAAAAACAAAAUUUGGAGAAAUUGAGCUCCAGGAAAAUAAAAGGAUUUACUAAGCCAGCCAGUAAGAGCCAGGGCUGGAAUCUAGGUCUCUUAAUUUUCAGGCUGGUAGUGUUAAAAUUAUUUUUAAAGGAGAAGUUUAUUUGGGGGUUAUAGUUUCAGAUGUGUCAGUCCGUGUUCAGCCAGCUCCAUUGUUCUGGAUUCAUGGAAGGCUCUGUGUUGGAAAGCUGCUCUCCUCAGGGUAGCUGGGAAGGAGAGAGAGAGAGAGAGAGAGAGAGAGAGAGAGAGAGAGCGCGAGAGAGCGCCAGGCUGGUGUUCUUACUUCUAUACCCAGCUGGAGACUUCCUGGUCAGAAAGUACUAGCCCUCGGGGUACUCAGACAGGCACCCCACUUUGACCUGCUCAGAUCUUUGAUGGUACUUAAUUGCAUUAGCAAGAGGGCUGGGAAAAUGCUCAGCAUCUUACCCAUUUUUUAAAAGAAAAAAAAUCAUUUUGCAUUUAAUAAAUCAGAUCCAAACCUAGUUUAUCCAGCACAUUUCUUGGUAAGAUUUGAAAGCCUCGGGGAAACUUAAUCCCACGUUUCUGAUUCAUCUUCAUUGGAGCUCAUCUAUUUUUAUUCUCUAAGUUGUUUCUCUGGCCCUUGCCCUCUGAGCUUUCUUCUAAUCUCUCUUCCCUCAGAAAUGAGGCAUUAUACUUGAACAGAUGGAAAGUUUCCCCGCCCCCAACCAUUAAACCUUCCCUAACCUUCUCAAAGAGAAUAAAACCCCCCAAACCUUAAACAGCCUUGGAAAUUCUUAACUACUUUUCAAAAUGGAGAGAUGCAUGUCAGAAAGCUGCAGAGGAGAAGAGCGUUUGGGAGAACAGAAUGGAAGUGAAUAAUGUUCCAAAAAUCAGGCCUGUGAAGAUCUGGGAUGAUUCAUCCUGAAAGAUGGCCAAAGGGUGAUUUAACAAUUCUGGCAGAAGAACUAUUGUUUCAGAGCCUGGGGACCAAUUCUUCCAAGAAGGGAACAGGAGGAAAGGGCUUAAAGCUACAGCUUGCAGGAAGUAGGUUAGACACCAAGAAGGGUGUUUUGAAUGGGUGGUCAUUAAUACAUUAGAGUGGGUGUGAAGGAUUUACAGAAUGGCCCCUGGGGCAGUGGAAAGAUCACACAGGUUAUAUAUCUUGUUUGAUUACUUUUGAGGUCUACAACCUUUGAUAAGGUACCAACCUUGAGACCCUGUGCCCCUGUUUAAGAAAAGUGGAGAUGACCUCUUCUUCUCAGCAUUGUCAGGAGAACGGGAUAACACAGGUCAUGUUUCUGGCUAACUUCAGGUACUCAGAACUGGUAAUCCUGUAUACAAUGAUGAGCUGGCAAUCCUGAUGAUGAUGGUAAGUGAUGAGUAUUAGGUCCCAUUCCCUCACCUUUAUAGUCUCAUCUGGGGGUGAAUUUCUAUGCUUGUAAACGACGCAGCAGCCAAGGGAGAGGUCUGGCUACUUAGGGUGCAGGUAAGAGCCUUGCUUCUCAGAAAUUCCUGGGCAUGGACUCUACUUCCCUCCCUCCUAGGAGAAAACACGAUAUCACUGAUGCCACAAUUAUUUCAAGGAUGAGGAGAGUCUAAGUCUAGAAAUAUCCCCUCACCUGGACCAUUAGAGGUAUAGGUAUAUUCUUUCUGAAUGGUGAUGUGGGGCUCUUGUAUGAAAAGUCUCUACUGUAGCUAAAAUUACCUCUCAGGUCAGGGAAGAGCUUACCUUUGGUGGAGAGAGUCAUCGUCAGUUAAAUGCCACCCCCUAGGAAAUUUGGGCCACAUAUGGGAUUUGAUAUCUUAUCUAUCACUCGGCACAGUCAUUUUGUCAUGGCUUCUGUUUCAUAUUAAAUUUUGGAAGAAUUUUUCAGUGGAUGUCAGUGUGCCGAGUUUUGUUUUGCCAAUACACAAUCCACCUGAAAAUCACUGUCCCAGCUACUUAGGGAGGAUAGUGUAGGAUAAGGGUCAAAGUGAGUGGUUAAGGGUAUAGACCCAGUUGGUGAAGGAUGGGGUCAGGACAGCCAGAGUAACCACAGGAAGCUUUUUGGAGGAGUGGAAAUUCUUUGAGUCUUUUAAGGAGUUCUACCUUAGGAAGGCAAAGCUUGCAGCAAGAGGUCACUAGGUGGGAUGACAGCUUGUACCAAAGUUUGAAGCUAGCAAUGAAUCAGUGGCUUGGAGUAGAUAUCAUUUAGGAGAGGAAUCAGAGAUGAGACUGGAUCAGGAGGUUGGGGGAGCUUCCUGGGUCCUUGAAAGUCACACCAACAUGGUGUUUGACCUUGAUAUCCUGGGCACAGGGGAACUACAGGAGAUUGGUAUGAACCCAAAUGAACUAUUCAGCAAGACUAUACAUAGCAAACUCAGUAUUUAAAUAGCUUCAUGGAGUAGAAAAUCUACCAAACGUUAGGAGAAAAUUGGUGGAAAAAUUCAAUCAUAAAAAUAAUUUGUAUUCACAGUGUAACAUUUAGAAAAUAUAAAAAAGUAUAGGAGGUAAAAUUUACUUAGUCCUAGUACUCCUAGGUAUUCUGAAGAAUCUGUUAUAGUUUUUCUUUUUAAAAUUUAUUUUUUUAACUUAGCUUAUACAUAUACAUAUAUAACUUGUAUAUGUAAAAUGUAUAUAUAGAUAUAUUCAGCUUUACAUAUUUUUUAAAAAGUGCUUUGCAAUAUAAGGUCUUUAUAAAUGCAAUAUCAACUGUAUCAUGAUAUUGUAAAGAUAUAGUAAAUCAUUUCCUGAUGGACAGAUAUUUGUUUAAAUUUUUUAAAAAUUUGUGAUAAAUGUAAAUUUUAUCAGUGUACCUGUAUUUAGAUUUGUUUGCAUCAAAGUAUAUGAUGUUUAUUAUUAACAUGUCUAUUAACUAUGUUUGAUCACAUUUAGCUACCCUUUACUUGUACAGGGUAUUCUAGGUUAAAAAGAAAUAUCUUCACUACAUUGAAAAAUAUGAAUAUUUUAACUUUCAUGUCUUUGAUACUUGUAAAGCUGAAUAUUUUCCCAUAUGUUUGUAUAUAAACUUCAAUGAAAUGCUUAAUAAUAGCUUUGGCCAGUAACUUAUAUUAGAAUUAUGGUAUUUUAUUGUUAUUAAGUUAUAUGUGUGUGUGUGUGAGUGUGUGUGUGUAUGGGUAGCAGAGAUUAAACCAAGAGCCUUGAGUGAGAUUUUUUUAAUGUAAUAAUACUUUUAAUGUCUAUUUUAUGAUAAAAUUUAUUUUUUAAAAUAAAAAUUAAGAUACAUCUUAAAAAAGAUUGUACAUGAGUCAUAAUCCAAUUAUCUAGACUUAAACACUGUUAUAUUGUAGUGAAUAUACUGCCAAAAUUCUUCUAAUCAUGCAUAUCUAUGGGUAAAAUGGGGGCACAUACCAAAAAAGAAAAAUGGAUGUACUUUUCCAUACUAUUUUGUAACUUUUAUUUCAUGUGUUAGACAGAAGAUGUCUUUCCUAUGCAAAUGGAUGUAAUUUAGACUUAUAUUGCUAUUUUUCCUAUUUGUAUCAUAAUUUAUUAUGUGCUAUAUCUUGUUUAUUUGAUCAAUCUUAAUAUUAAUUGCUAUGUUGAAAAGUUCCAUUUUUUUUUCUUCUAAACAUAUCUCUAGUGAAUAUAUUGUAAUUAUAACUAUAUGCCAUUGUCCUCUUACUUCCUAAGGAAAACUUCUGAGAAGUGGAGUUGCUGGGUCAUAGGGUGGAUGUAUUUAAUGUUUUGAUAUGUAUCACUGAACUGCUCUCUGUGAAGUAGUAAGACUCCUCACUCCCAUCCACCACACUGUUUCAAUACUACAUUACUAAUGAGGGAUGUUUGCAACCUUGCCAAUCUGACAGGUGAAAAUGUUUUUCAUUUGAUUUGUAUUUGUUUGUUUAUUGGAGAGAUCAAGAAGUUUUUAACUAAUCAAUAAUCUAUUUUGUAUUUUCUUGUCUGUAUGUGGUCCAAUUUUCCCUUGAAAUGUUUGUACAGAGACUUUGUUUUAAAUAUGACUUCCACAUAUUGUUCUUUUGAAAAAUAGUCAACUCCAACUAUUCUCAUCUGUAUCUUUUAUUUUCUGUGAUUUUCAGAUCAGAGGAUCUGAGGAGUAGUUUUUGAAUUACCUGUAAGAACAUAGAUGAGUUGAAAGAAGGAGAAAGGCUGAUGAUUUGGAGAAAAAGAUAUCCAGAAGCGGGCACAUGUUGGCAGGACUAUCAUAAGGAAAUAAGGGCAUUGGGCAAAAAAAUCAAGCUGUGGGUGGAGCAUAAAGAAAGAUUAGUUUGAAUUCUUUUUGAUUUUUAGGUGUUUUUUUUUGUCAAGAGUUACUUCCAUCAUUCUAAACAAUGGACAUGAAAAUCACCUCUUCAUUCCAUAUGUUAAUGGGUCAACAAUUUGUUCAGUUUCUUCCUUUGAAAUAUAUCUUGGAUUUGAACUUUCUUCUGUAUUUUCCCAACAGCAUUAUGAUUACUCUCACGUGUGUGUGUGUGUGUGUGUGUGUGUGUGUGUGUGUGUAUACCCAAACAGCUCUAGGAGGACUUUGCUUACCUUACUGACUUCAUGUCUUAGCAUCCAAAACACACCUCCAAACAGAGCAGAUACUUAAUUUGUAUAUUUUUAAAUGUUAUAUAUUUAAAAAUAUAUGUUAUAUAUUUUAAAAUGAAUAGAUGGAGUAAUCGGAAAGGAUGGGUGGUUUGACUGCACUCUAAGAAAGAAGUCAGUCUCUCAUCCUUUAUGCAUGUGUGCCUGAAACCCCUUGUGAAGAGAGACAGAUUUAAAAAAUGAAUUAUUUGUAGUAACAGUGAAGAUUGCUGCUGUAAGUAAUAGAAGGUGACAUGAAUUAGAUCAAACAAAUGGGGUAACUUUUUAUAAAGAUAUUGCUUGUUUUCAUUGAAAACACAGGCAGAGAAGCAGCUGGGUGCUAGCAAGGAACUAGAAUGAACUUUUCAGUCUCUUGUGUUUUUUCCUUUUCAAAUGUCUACUCUUGGGGAUUGUUUCUUAUUUACCCUGAAGUCCAGUUUUCUCUUCUUGGACAGAGGAUGCCAUAAUGCAGUCACCAUUAACUUUUGAAUCAGGAUCUCCUCCAUUGAAGACACUCUUUCUGAACUGAACAAGAAUCUCCCAGUCCCGCUUACAAAUUCCCAACAGAAAGGGCCAGCUGACUGUGACUUGGAGGCAGGGUCAUGUUGUUGAAGGGUGGAUGUGGGCAGAGACCAUGAAGGGGUCAACAGUGACUAUAAGCGGCCUGGCCUUGGGCUGGGUAGAACAAGUUGUCCUUUGCAGCUGAGCUCUAUUGAAUUUUCACCUUUAGAAUGUCCCAUCUGGGCUCUGCUCAUUUUGGUCAAAGAUUUCACAAAGGAUAUCCAGAAGCAGAUACAUGUUGUCAGGACUACCUAAGGAAAUAAGGGAGUUGGGCAAAAAUGUUAAUACAUGAACUUGGAAUUAGUGCCAACUUUUUUUUUUUUUGGUGGUAAUUUUUAUUAAGGACACAGCUCUCUACUUGGCCCUAAUAGUUCUUUUCAACUAGGAUGGCUAGAUUUGACUGGUGUCUAUUCCAGUUAUGUAUGUUCCAGCAAUGUUAAGGAUAAACUUACACUGAAAAAUUAUUCAUUGUUUGCCUUCAGUUGUAAUUUAACUGUGUGUCCAGUAUUUUAUCCGGCAACCCUACCCUAACAUCAUUAAUUAUAAGUGGAAAGGAAGGUAGGAGUAAGCUGAAAUAUGUUAAUUGUUAUUUCGAGGUUCCAGUGUUUGGGCACUUUUUAAUUCAUUGUCUAGAGCAUUAAAUUAUAAGUUAUUUAUUGUCUUGGUGCAUAUUCCUGGGAGGCAAGGGUGUGGGCAAUCAAAAAAGGGGGAUAAUAAUUAGACAUGUGACUAAACAUUUCAUUGUUUUCCUUUCUACCUAGAAACUAACCAACCGACUUUCUAAAACCUCACUUAUUUAUGUCUGUAUUUUAAAAUCAGAGAUUAUCCCUUUGAACAUUUUCUCCAUUCUGGAAAGAUCAAUAAGUUCCUAAAAAGAACAGCAGUGAGACUCUCAAGCAUUUCAUACCUUAUCAGAGUGUGCAUUAGUAAUAUAGCUCCAAUUGCUUUCUCUCCUACUCACAACCCAGUGAAAACCAAUUGAUUUCAUUUCCAUAGGUUCAGUUAUUCAUUCUACAAACCUUUACUGAGCAACAACUAAGACACUAACUUGAGAAUGAUGCCAAAGACAUUCCUGUCCUCUUCUAUCACAGUUCUCAGCACUGUAUAUUAUAGUGGAUAGCCUCUGCCUACCCAUAGGCCAGGGGCUCCUCAAAGUGGAGACCAUGCUUUACUCACCUCUGUCACCUUGGCUUCCAGCAUAGCCUCACACAGCGCCAGACUGAAACCUAAUGCUUGAAGAUUUCAAGGGAAAGAGGUUUCAAAAAAUGUGGAUGAAUUGGCUGAAAAUAUUUUUGGACCCAUUCAUGGUUUCCUGAUAGUCUGAUCCUUUCCAGGGACUGAGCUGUAAAAGUCUCUGACAUCUCAGUGUAUAGACCUUCUGACAUGAUCCAGAAAGACACUGGAUCUCCUUGCUCAUAGUAGACUAACGCUGGGGAGAACCAUGUG